Molecule: ribosomal RNA, 497 nt
Filed under: uncultured bacterium
Lineage: Bacteria
Description: partial 16S ribosomal RNA
Rfam family: Bacterial small subunit ribosomal RNA
Source: RNAcentral
GAUGAACGCUGGCGGCGUGCCUAAUACAUGCAAGUCGAGCGAACAGAUGAUGAGCUUUCUCCUCUGACGUUAGCGGCGGACGGGUGAGUAACACGUGCAUAACCUACCUAUUAGACUGGGAUAACUUCGGGAAACCGGAGCUAAUACCGGAUAAUAUAUUGAACCGCAUGGUUCAAUAGUGAAAGACGGUUUUGCUGUCACUUAUAGAUGGUUCCGCGCCGCAUUAGCUAGUUGGUAAGGUAACGGCUUACCAAGGCAACGAUGCGUAGCCGACCUGAGAGGGUGAUCGGCCACACUGGAACUGAGACACGGUCCAGACUCCUACGGGAGGCAGCAGUAGGGAAUAUUCCGCAAUGGGCGAAAGCCUGACGGAGCAACGCCGCGUGAGUGAUGAAGGUCUUCGGAUCGUAAAACUCUGUUAUUAGGGAAGAACAAAUGUGUAAGUAACUAUGCACGUCUUGACGGUACCUAAUCAGAAAGCCCCGGCUAACUACGUG